Molecule: ribosomal RNA, 301 nt
Filed under: uncultured bacterium
Lineage: Bacteria
Description: partial 16S ribosomal RNA
Rfam family: Bacterial small subunit ribosomal RNA
Source: RNAcentral
CAGUAGCCGCGGUAAUACGAAGGGGGCUAGCGUUGCUCGGAAUUACUGGGCGUAAAGGGCGCGUAGGCGGACAGUUCAGUCGGGGGUGAAAGCCCGGGGCUCAACCUCGGAAUUGCCUUCGAUACUGGCUGUCUUGAGUAUGAGAGAGGUGUGUGGAACUCCGAGUGUAGAGGUGAAAUUCGUAGAUAUUCGGAAGAACACCAGUGGCGAAGGCGACACACUGGCUCAUUACUGACGCUGAGGCGCGAAAGCGUGGGGAGCAAACAGGAUUAGAUACCCCUGUAGUCCCUGUCUCUUAUAC